GACAGAGGGUGCGAACGUUGUUCGGAAUUACUGGGCGUAAAGCGCGUGUAGGCGGCAACGCAAGUCGGGCGUGAAAUCCCACGGCUCAACCGUGGAAGUGCACUCGAAACUGCGUAGCUAGAGUCUUGGAGAGGAAGGUGGAAUGCUUGGUGUAGAGGUGAAAUUCGUAGAUAUCAAGCGGAACACCGGUGGCGAAGGCGGCCUUCUGGACAGUGACUGACGCUGAGACGCGAAAGCGUGGGGAGCAAACAGG
This 253-nucleotide ribosomal RNA is filed under the name uncultured bacterium. RNAcentral describes it as "partial 16S ribosomal RNA". It matches the Rfam family "Bacterial small subunit ribosomal RNA", at positions 524 to 776 of the family's 1533-position model. The record is from RNAcentral.